UACGUAGGGUGCAAGCGUUGUCCGGAAUUAUUGGGCGUAAAGAGCUCGUAGGCGGUCUGUCGCGUCGGAUGUGAAAAUCCAGGGCUCAACCCUGGACCUGCAUUCGAUACGGGCAGACUAAAGUUCGGCAGGGGAGACUGGAAUUCCUGGUGUAGCGGUGAAAUGCGCAGAUAUCAGGAGGAACACCAGCGGCGAAGGCGGCGCUCUGGGCCGGUACUGACACUGAGGAGCGAAAGCGUGGGUAGCAAACAGG
Molecule: ribosomal RNA, 253 nt
Filed under: uncultured bacterium
Lineage: Bacteria
Description: partial 16S ribosomal RNA
Rfam family: Bacterial small subunit ribosomal RNA
Source: RNAcentral